Molecule: ribosomal RNA, 423 nt
Filed under: uncultured bacterium
Lineage: Bacteria
Description: bacterial SSU rRNA
Rfam family: Bacterial small subunit ribosomal RNA
Source: RNAcentral
AAGACCUUGCGCUUUUGGAGCGGCCGAUGUCUGAUUAGCUAGUUGGUAGGGUAAUGGCCUACCAAAGCUUCGAUCAGUAGCUGGUCUGAGAGGACGACCAGCCACACUGGGACUGAGACACGGCCCAGACUCCUACGGGAGGCAGCAGUGGGGAAUUUUGGACAAUGGGCGCAAGCCUGAUCCAGCCAUGCCGCGUGAGUGAAGAAGGCCUUCGGGUUGUAAAGCUCUUUCAGCCGGGAAGAAAAGGCUACGACGAAUAAUCGUAGCUCAUGACGGUACCGGAAGAAGAAGCACCGGCUAACUACGUGCCAGCAGCCGCGGUAAUACGUAGGGUGCGAGCGUUAAUCGGAAUUACUGGGCGUAAAGCGUGCGCAGGUGGUUUUGUAAGUCAGAUGUGAAAGCCCCGGGCUCAACCUGGGAACU